ACGGGGCGCAGCAGGCGCGAAAACUUUACAAUGCAGGAAACCGUGAUAAGGGGACACCGAGUGCCAGCAUCCUAUGCUGGCUGUCCAGGUGUGUAAAAUACACCUGUUAGCAAGGGCCGGGCAAGACCGGUGCCAGCCGCCGCGGUAACACCGGCGGCCCGAGUGGU
RNAcentral lists this ribosomal RNA (167 nucleotides) under uncultured archaeon. Its description in RNAcentral is "partial 16S ribosomal RNA". It matches the Rfam family "Archaeal small subunit ribosomal RNA", at positions 325 to 492 of the family's 1478-position model. The record is from RNAcentral.